RNAcentral lists this small nuclear RNA (107 nucleotides) under Mustela putorius furo (domestic ferret). Lineage: Eukaryota; Metazoa; Chordata; Mammalia; Carnivora; Mustelidae. The record is from RNAcentral.
GUGCUCGCUUCGGCAGCACAUAUACUAAAAUUGGAAUGGUACAGAAAAGAUUAGCAUGGCCCCUGUGCAAGGAUGACAUGUAAAUUUGUGAAGCGUUCCAUAUUUUU